UUCCUCUGGUGCAUCAUAUGGUUGAUCUGUUGCAUCAUAUGAUGAAUCUGUUGCAUCAGAUAGUUAAUAUGUUGGACCAGAUGGGUAAUCUGUCGGAGGAAACAGUAGCACAAUUUUGUUAAACAAAAAAUAGCAAUUUCACCAUUUUUACCAAGUAUAAGAACAGAACAAAUCAAACCAAAUAGUCCCUUUCCUUUUAUAAAUACAAACAAUAAAAAUCAAACUUAAAAAAAAUGCAACAAACAACAAAAUAUCAUAAUUCACUUCGAAAAGAGAAGAGAAGAGAAGAAAUACCAGAAAUUAGGGUUUUAUUCAGACCGCAUUUCAAAUUAGUGCAACAAAUAUUGAAAUUGUUAACCAAUACUAUAAGAGAAGUUGGCUCAAGUUCCUCAUUUUCUUCAAAACUAAAAAGGCCAUAAAUUUUUACCUGUGAAAGAAGAAAAGAACCGAUGAAGAAUUCGAAGCUGUUGUGGCCGGAGAGCAAGACUGUCAUGUCGAUUGAAGUCGAAAAGGAACUAGAAUCCCAACUAUUUGUAGUCGGAUNNNNN
This 548-nucleotide long non-coding RNA is filed under the name Capsicum annuum. RNAcentral's name for it is "long non-coding RNA (CANN_LNC010697)". The record is from RNAcentral. Lineage: Eukaryota; Viridiplantae; Streptophyta; Magnoliopsida; Solanales; Solanaceae.